Molecule: unclassified non-coding RNA, 341 nt
Filed under: soil metagenome
Description: partial contains 5.8S ribosomal RNA, internal transcribed spacer 2, and large subunit ribosomal RNA
Rfam family: 5.8S ribosomal RNA (bases 1-120)
Source: RNAcentral
GAUGAAGAACGUAGCGAAAUGCGAUAAGUAGUGUGAAUUGCAGAAUUCAGUGAAUCAUCGAAUCUUUGAACGCACAUUGCGCCCUUUGGUAUUCCAAAGGGCAUGCCUGUUCGAGCGUCAUUUGUACCCUCAAGCUUUGCUUGGUGUUGGGCGUCUUGUCUCUAGCUUUGCUGGAGACUCGCCUUAAAGUAAUUGGCAGCCGGCCUACUGGUUUCGGAGCGCAGCACAAGUCGCACUCUCUAUCAGCAAAGGUCUAGCAUCCAUUAAGCCUUUUUUUCAACUUUUGACCUCGGAUCAGGUAGGUAUACCCGCUGAACUUAAGCAUAUCAAUAAGCGGAGGA